Molecule: long non-coding RNA, 2677 nt
Filed under: Capsicum annuum
Lineage: Eukaryota; Viridiplantae; Streptophyta; Magnoliopsida; Solanales; Solanaceae
Description: long non-coding RNA (CANN_LNC021520)
Source: RNAcentral
UACGCAGUCCAUACCUCUACCUCUGAUGAAGUAGAAAGGCUGAUUCCGAUAGACCCCCGGCUCAAGGCACGAGAUACCACACAAACACAUAGUAAAGCACAGAAGCAGAUUACAUAACAUAAAUACGGCACCCAUAAGUAAUAUAAAACAGAGGAAAGCACACAGAUUCGUAAUAAAACAUGGAACACGGAACACGGAAUCAUAACAAGAAUAAAAUUCCCACCAAGUAAUUUCCUACACUAGCGAUCCAAACUGGCUCUAAUCCUCUGUCGUAAUUCGCGUCCUCCAGACCUUUCUAUUUAGGGUCAUGUCCUCGGUGAGCUGUAACUGUUCCAUGUCCCGCCUAAUCACCUCACCCCAGUACUUCUUCGGCCUACCCCUACCCCGCCUAAAACCAUCCAACGCCAGCCUCUCACACCUACGGACCGGGGCAUUCAUGCCCCUCCUCUUCACGUGUCCGAACCAUCUCAAUCGUGCUUCCCGCAUCUUGCACUCCACUGAAGUCACACCAACCUUCUCCCAGAUAGUCUCAUUCCGAACUCUAUCCCCUCUAGUUCAGUCCACACAUCCAGCGCAACAUCCGCAUUUCUGCCACCUUCAUUUUUUGGAUGUGGGAGUUCUUAACUGGCCAACACUCCGCUCCAUACAACAAGGCCGGACGGACUGAUUAGCUGGUGUAUACCUCAAAACUGAUUAUUUACCACACUUUUGAGGUCAGUUUAGUAGCAUGUGAUUAUUUUUUGAGCUUAUUUUCAGUAUACUUGUGAUACUAGAUGGUUAAGAAAUAUAGGCUGCUACACAUGGCUGUCAUUUUGCUUAGUAGACACAUUUAAGAACCUUGAUUGUUGCUCUCGCUGUCUGUAAAAUAAGAAAACGCCAUAUAUCAUAACAUAGCUGUCAUUGUGGCACUAAAAGUUGCAGUUCAAUGAUAUAAUGCCAUAUGACUGGAUAGAAGUUUAAAAUGUCAAUUGACUUUUACAUAACAUUUGUUGUACUGAAAGAAAAUAUUAAAGUAAUAGCUGAAAGUUAAUUUUGCAUAGGAAACAUCAUAUUGAGAUUCAAAUUUCUGAAUAAUUAAAAUAAUUUGAAUUCUUCAAAGCUAUUUAAUAACGAGUGGUUUAAGCUAGAAUGUUUCGAAUUAAUUUUGAGCCUCGUUAUGAUUAGGAGUUUUGGUUAUGCUUUUAGUUUAAUGCCAAAGUUUGUCUACUGAUUUCUGUUAGUAGGCCUCCCUUUUGAGAAGACUAGACAACAUAACUAUUAAAUGUGAAUGAUUAGCUAGUGAGUAUACUGAUAUGCAGGACUACUAGUGAGUAUACUGAUAUACUUAUAGAGUACCUUGUAAUGAAUCUGUAAAAUUUAGGAAAUAGAUCUUUAUUUGGACCCUCUUCUAGCCUAUGAUCAUUUAUAAAUAGUGUUUUCCUUCCAUUUUCCCACUCUUAUACUUGUUUUGAACAAUAUGAAAUUUCAAAGUUACCUGAUGUUCUCCAUACUAUACAACUCUAUAAGGGCUGGUAACAACUUUUGUGCACCAUAAAGGCUAGUAUCAACAAGUAUCACUGAAGAAGUUGCUUAUAUUGGUGCUAUUAGAGCAAAUCUAGUAAAUAAGACCAUGCUCGAAAAUUUCAUGGGUUAAUGAUGCAUGUAAUACUUCUUUCAAGUCAUAUGUACAUGAUUGAGUUUGGAAUGUGUUAAGAUUAUAUCACCAGAAUUCCUUCUUAAUCCUUCCUUAAAAUGAUGUUAAACCAUACUGUGUGUGUGUUUCUUCUUAUGGGUUAACUUAUAUUUCUUUAAAUAAUGACUUCAUGAUUGCUGAAUGAUCUUAAGGUCAUGGAGAGAACUGUGUACAAUGCUUUUUUGGACGAACAUGUUCAUAGAGAAAACAUGUAUAUCAGUAGAAAACCUCUUUAAUAAGGUACUCCUAUUGUUUAAGACAAUUGGGUUAUGCUCUCUAGGCGAACAUGUUGGUAUUCGAAGAAACUAGAAAGCAUGUAUAGCAGUAAAAUAUUUGCGGUAAAACAGAAGUUUUUAUAAUUUGAAUUUUGUAGGUUGUUUUCCAAGAGAUAGUAAGCUCGAUAGUGAUCCCUAAGUACCCUGUGUUAACUUAGUGUUGGACGUUUCUUAGUUUUUUAAGUAUGCUAGACAACUAGCAUGUGUAGCUAUGCUACGGUGUUUGUAAAGAUACAACAUUACAUCUCAGUUGGGACCAGACAAGAAUUUUCUAUAUUUAUGCUUUAACUUAUUGUGUGACUUCAGCAAUAUUAGUGAUUACACUAUGUGUCCUUUUUUUUAAAUAACAAAAAAUUCAUUAGUGGCUUACAUUUCUGUAAGUGGAGAAUAAUGGUUCAUUAUUAGAUAGUAUACCAACUUUUGUUGAUGUUGUGUAGUUUGUUGCUCAACUUUAAUUUUGUUUUUCUUAUUAUUGUAGGUGAUCAUGACUUAAAAUAUGGUGGGAACGAAAUUGAUGAACUAGACCUGACCUAAGAGAUCGAUCACAUUGGCUUCAUGUCACACUAGCUGUUGGAAAAACUUGUGUAUGUUUUGAUAGAGAUCGAUCACAUUUGACCGAGUAUACGUAGCUUCAAGCAUCUUUUAUUUGAACAUUCAAAACUUGUGUAUGUUUUAAAUUUUUUGAAUGGUCAAAAAAUAUUUGGUUUCUUAUUGGUUGAUAUUUUGGGAA